UAGGGAAUCUUCGGCAAUGGGGGGAACCCUGACCGAGCAACGCCGCGUGAGUGAAGAAGGUUUUCGGAUCGUAAAGCUCUGUUGUUAAGGAAGAACGAGUGUGAGAAUGGAAAGUUCAUGCUGUGACGGUACUUAACCAGAAAGGGACGGCUAACUACGUGCCAGCAGCCGCGGUAAUACGUAGGUCCCGAGCGUUGUCCGGAUUUAUUGGGCGUAAAGCGAGCGCAGGCGGUUAGAAAAGUCUGAAGUGAAAGGCAGUGGCUCAACCAUUGUAGGCUUUGGAAACUGUUUAGCUUGAGUGCAGAAGGGGAGAGUGGAAUUCCAUGUGUAGCGGUGAAAUGCGUAGAUAUAUGGAGGAACACCGGUGGCGAAAGCGACUCUCUGGUCUGUAACUGACGCUGAGGCUCGAAAGCGUGGGUAGCAAACAGG
This 429-nucleotide ribosomal RNA is filed under the name Bacteroidota bacterium. RNAcentral's name for it is "Bacteroidetes bacterium partial 16S ribosomal RNA". It matches the Rfam family "Bacterial small subunit ribosomal RNA", at positions 355 to 776 of the family's 1533-position model. The record is from RNAcentral. Lineage: Bacteria; Pseudomonadati; Bacteroidota.